Molecule: ribosomal RNA, 424 nt
Filed under: uncultured bacterium
Lineage: Bacteria
Description: bacterial SSU rRNA
Rfam family: Bacterial small subunit ribosomal RNA
Source: RNAcentral
GGGGAAUUGUUCGCAAUGGGCGCAAGCCUGACGACGCAACGCCGCGUGGAGGAUGAAGAUCUUCGGGUCGUAAACUCCUGUCGAAUGGGACGAACGGAUCGCGUGUGAACAACACGUGGUCGUGACGGUACCGUUAAAGGAAACCCAGGCUAACUCCGUGCCAGCAGCCGCGGUAAUACGGGGGGGGUAAGCGUUGUUCGGAAUUAUUGGGCGUAAAGCGCGCGCAGGCGGCGAUUUAAGUUCGGUGUUUAAGCCCGGGGCUCAACCCCGGAUCGCAUCGAAAACUGGAUGGCUUGAGUGCAGGAGAGGGAAGCGGAAUUCCACGUGUAGCGGUGAAAUGCGUAGAGAUGUGGAGGAACACCAGUGGCGAAGGCGGCUUCCUGGCCUGUAACUGACGCUGAGGCGCGAAAGCGUGGGGAGCAAA